GAAGCUCGGCGGCGUGCCUAAUACAUGCAAGUCGAGCGGAAAUUUUAUUGGUGCUUGCACCUUUAAAAUUUUAGCGGCGGACGGGUGAGUAACACGUGGGUAACCUACCUUAUAGAUUGGGAUAACUCCGGGAAACCGGGGCUAAUACCGAAUAAUACUUUUUAACACAUGUUUGAAAGUUGAAAGACGGUUUCGGCUGUCACUAUAAGAUGGACCCGCGGCGCAUUAGCUAGUUGGUGAGGUAACGGCUCACCAAGGCAACGAUGCGUAGCCGACCUGAGAGGGUGAUCGGCCACACUGGGACUGAGACACGGCCCAGACUCCUACGG
Molecule: ribosomal RNA, 329 nt
Filed under: bacterium HC7
Lineage: Bacteria
Description: bacterial SSU rRNA
Rfam family: Bacterial small subunit ribosomal RNA
Source: RNAcentral